RNAcentral lists this long non-coding RNA (1733 nucleotides) under Salmo salar (Atlantic salmon). RNAcentral describes it as "lncRNA (ENSSSAG00000083073.1)". The record is from RNAcentral. Lineage: Eukaryota; Metazoa; Chordata; Actinopteri; Salmoniformes; Salmonidae.
CUUGAAGUAGUUCCCCUUGCUCUGAAAGGACCGUGGCUUUUGUUGAGCAAGGUGUGACUUUGCUUCGAGGGUGGCUCUUGCAAUGUGUGCAGAGGGUCUCUGGUUUGAGCCCAUGUAGGGGCGAGGAGAGGGACGGAAGCAGAACUGUAACAGGUCACCAUUUUAAUCAGGAGAAUCUCCUCUUUGUAAUUAUGUAAGUCUGGGCAGCGAGCUUGUUUGUCAGCGAUCGCUUAACCAGAAAUAUACGUUUUUAUUUGUUCACUACUUUUUCAUUACGCAGACAUAAGCACAGUUGCCACCAUCGAGGUGCGGAUGUUUACUUUCUACACAAGUUGUUUUUUUUCCAGUUUCAUCCGACGAACAGAUUGUAGUGGUAAAAUAAAAAGAGAAUUCUAUGCAUCACUCCAGUCAAAACAGGCUCUGCGAACUUUCGAUUCCAUUAAUUUGCUAUGGACUCGCGCUAGUGUUCCAGUUUAGCCAACGUUCUUAAGCCGUUUUUCAGCCUUGAGUGAAUUUUGACUCGUUCUAUUGUCCAGCCUAUAGAUAGACAGAGCGAAUUUUUGAAAGCACCCGAAUGUCCAUUGAGAAAGCACAACGACUAUACCAUUUAGAUAAACUAAGAAUGACGAGAAUAAUCAAGUCAAUAAAUGUUGGGUAGUUAGAUAGCCUAUAGUUAAUAUACUGGCAAGUUUGAUGUAUAACUACUAACGUAAGGUAGCUAGCUAACACACCGGUACAUACUGCUGUAAUGAUAUGCUUUGUGGUUCGUAUGGACAGCGUAGCUAACAAAUUGUCAGCCAACAUAACAUGUAAGGUAACUUAUAUGAAAUGUCAUUACUUUAUUACGUUGCGUAGCAAGCUACCCCUUGGUCGUUAGGGCAAAUCUGAUCUGUGAUAGGACGGGGGGGGGUUCACACCUAUUAGACUAUUCUUUAGUAAAGGUUGAACAGCCAAUUGUUCAGCUAUUAGCCCUCCUCCCCAACUUGCAAUAAAUUGCUGUUCCCAUUUCUUUCCUUUCCCUCUUCCACACGUCAUCAUUCUCAGUGGCUCGCUUGUGGGCGUGCUGGCAGGAUAUGGCAGCAUUUUCGGUUGUGCAUCAAUAAUUCUGUAUACAGUAGCACGUUUGUAUGAAGGUGUGGUUAUUCACAGGAACAUUUUUAUUAUUUUCAUAUCUAUAAAAAAAAUAAGCUGUUUUCUUUACUUUCAGAGAGUGAGCUGAUCAAGGGGUAGAAAAUGUAGAUAUUACCAGAUGUUCACUGUCCAAGGAACAGGCCGUGGAAGUUUUAUUGCUGGCAAAAGUAUCCAUAACCAGAGAUUUUGUUACGGCUUGGUAAUUGUGGAGGAGGAAUGAGGCGCAGGAACCAGCGAACACAGGGUAGUGGUGUUUUUAAUAUACACUCACCAAAAAAAAAAAAUGUUCCCACACACAGGGGAGAAAAUACAUGCGGCGUACAACAACGUCGACAUGAACACAAGCCGUCACACAAGAAACAAUCAUUAAUCCCGCACGAACAGGAGCGGGCCAGCUAAACUAAAUAGCCCCUCUAAUGGCUAAUUGACCACAGGUGUCACAAAAUAAAAAAAGGGAAAAGCAAAAGGGAAUCGGUGGCAGCUAAUAGGCCGGUGACGACGACCGCCGAGCGCCACCCGAGCAGGAGGGGGCGCCACCGUCGGUGGGAAUCGUGACAGUACCCCCCUCCUGACGCGCGGCUCCCGCAGCGCGCCGACACCGG